RNAcentral lists this transfer RNA (78 nucleotides) under compost metagenome. RNAcentral describes it as "tRNA-Trp". It matches the Rfam family "tRNA". Rfam says of the family: Transfer RNA (tRNA) molecules are approximately 80 nucleotides in length. Their secondary structure includes four short double-helical elements and three loops (D, anti-codon, and T loops). Further hydrogen bonds mediate the characteristic L-shaped molecular structure. tRNAs have two regions of fundamental functional importance: the anti-codon, which is responsible for specific mRNA codon recognition, and the 3' end, to which the tRNAs corresponding amino acid is attached (by aminoacyl-tRNA synthetases). tRNAs cope with the degeneracy of the genetic code in two manners: having more than one tRNA (with a specific anti-codon) for a particular amino acid; and 'wobble' base-pairing, i.e. permitting non-standard base-pairing at the 3rd anti-codon position. The record is from RNAcentral.
AGGGGAGUAAAGAUAAUUGGAUAAUCGUCCGGUCUCCAAAACCGUGGAACGUGGGUUCGAUUCCCACCUCCCCUGCCA